GGUAACGGUGUUUGUCACCACCGGUGAGGAAAGAAAGAAGGGAGGACACUGUUCAUAUCCUUUGGUUUUUUUGUUGUGGUGUAUAAACCCACUUGCCGCCACUGUUCCUGCAUUGCUAGAAGCCUUCGUAGUAGUUUUCUUGAUUUUUAGGGCUAUUACAUAAUUCUUUAUUUGUGUGAUGUGUUGUUUGUUUUAUUUAAAUUUUUGUUAUUUGUAAUUAUAUAUGGGUGUAUGAGAAAAACAUAAUAGAAAAAGA
RNAcentral lists this long non-coding RNA (256 nucleotides) under Populus tremula. RNAcentral's name for it is "long non-coding RNA (PTRE_LNC001398)". Lineage: Eukaryota; Viridiplantae; Streptophyta; Magnoliopsida; Malpighiales; Salicaceae. The record is from RNAcentral.